AAUUACUGAACUUGUUUAAGUAUAUAUUUUGAAAAUAUAAUAAAGAAGUAGAAUCUUCUAGUAAUUU
RNAcentral lists this transfer RNA (67 nucleotides) under Staphylinidae sp. BMNH 1274255. RNAcentral's name for it is "tRNA-Ser". Lineage: Eukaryota; Metazoa; Arthropoda; Insecta; Coleoptera; Staphylinidae. The record is from RNAcentral.